CGGGAUCGAAACAGCUGUUAUGGAAAAAAUAACCUGUAACUGCCAUUAAUGGCCUGUUAUGCCACCCUGUAAAGGUCUGUUACGUGGCAGAUAUAGGUUUUUUGGAAUUUUUUUUCGAUGUCAUGGGACAGAUACAGGUUUUUCGGUUUUUUUAUUUUUUAUUUUUUAUUUUCUCAAUAAAAAAGACUGUAACUGCUGUUAUGACUGUAUCUUAAAGGUAACAGUGGUGGCCAUUAUGGCCACCAUUACUGUUACGGAAUACCUUGGUCAUUCUUGCUUGAUAUAUUUGUGGUAAAUUUAUGGAAGUUUCUGGUCACAGACCGGAAAAGUUAAUACAUUGCUAUUGCUGGACACUGUCACUUUUUGGAGAGUCCUUGUGUAAAAUCGAGCACUGGCAGCUAUAGUGCAGUGAGAGUAUGAGAAAUGCUAAUUGCACUCUCUUGAGUGCUCUAUGAAAGUGCAUUCAGCUUCAAGGAGCGACUUACAUGCUCUGGGCAGCUCUUUAGGGAGCAGAUUGGGUGAGGCGCUUAUGUGGUGAGAUUUGAUUGGGCCAUGUAAAGUAUGUUUGAAAGUGGUUGGGUUGAGUACGUACUUGGCUGAUGGCACAUGUGGCUGGACCAAUCAAAUCUUGCUGCAUUAGGGCUCCCAGCUCUUUAAGGAAUCCUCUGACUGUUUAGAUUCCAUACAUCAGGAAUCUGGAAAGUAUGGGGCACGGAUUGGGUACUGGCCUUGCCUGUACUGUACUUUCUCUGCCCCUGACAUGGCGGGAUUUGAUUGGAUGGCAGGCUUCUGUUAGAGAUGAGGCCCAGUCAAGUAUGUACUCAACAAAACAACUUUCAUUUAUGCUUUGCGUGGGCCUCCUCUUCGGUAGUGGCUUGCCGCCGUCCAAUCAAAUCCUGCCACAUUAGGGAUGGAGGGAGCUCGGUUCAGGCAGGGGCAGUAACCAAUCCAUGCUCAAAAGUAUGAUUGGGAAGCAGGCCAUGCAUGUAAAUAACUUGGAACAACAUCAUCAUCCGAGGCUGCUCUCAAUUAAUCAAGGCAGGUGUAAGUAACAAAUCCUGUUCCACUCUGCCUAGGACUCUUAUCAUCAGUUAGACCCUAGCUCGUUGAAUGUUUUCUUAUUAUCUCUGCCUGCGUUCUUUCGCUCUUUGUACCUUGCACUAUGCACAUUUAUAGCAUUUGACCUGGAUACUGGUGUAGUUUUUGGCCUUCGAUGCACAUGACCAGACUGUCUAGGUCCACUUUCCCUCAUCUUAUACCUAUUGGGGCUAUUGGUAAGUUCCCUUGAAUGUAUUCAUUUCUAAUUUUCUGUUAAUGUAUUCAUUUCUAAUUUUAUCAUUCCUUGUCCAAUUAUUCAUAUAGCUUAAUUUCCUCAUUUCAGCUAAAGCCUUUCUAUGAAUGUGUUGUUCCUUGUUCACCAACAUUCGGUCACAAAGAGCGUGGCUUAUCGUUUAGCUGUCCUAUAGAAUCCCCCCCUCAAUUUGAUUGUUUUGUGGAGAUAAUGCAAUUCUCUAGAAACAUGUUCCACUUCAUCCACCCAACUCUAAUUCUAAAUACCAUCCUUAAUCUCUCUGUUCUCAUGAAUUAUUGAUGUGGUCAUUUAGGGAUACUUCUUGACCAUCAAUCUUAACCAAUCCCUCAAUUGUUACUAGAAUUGCAUAUCAUGUAUAUUGCUUUUGUCCUGCGAAUUUUAACACCUUUAGAUUUUAAAGCAUCCUUCCAUAGUUUUACAUUUACCACCUUCCCUGUGUCAUCAAUCAAACUACCUUUACAAUUACUUCCUCGUCUCAUCUAUCAGAACUAUGUCAUUUGCAAAUAACAUACACCAUGAGAUCUCAUGUCUAUGUAACUCAUCCAUAACCACUGCAUAGUUCUACUGUAAUUGAAAACUCACAUUUCUCUUGUUAGUGGUCUCAAAUUAGUUACCUCUCUCUCUCAUAACAAUUUAUCCUUUUGAGACUCCUUACUUUCCUAAAAUCCACCAGUUUUAUCCUAUUCUAUGCUUCCUCAAGUCAAUAAGGACCAUGUGGAGAUUUCCUUGCACAUAACUUCUCUACCAACUAUCGAGAAAAUAGCCUUAAUGGUUGACCUCACUGGCACAAAUCUGAAUUGAUUUUCUUAUACAUUCAUUUGAUGCCUUGGUUUUUGCUCAAUCAGUCUCUCAAAUUUUCACGAUAUGACUUGUAAGUUCAACCCCUCUGGUAGCUAUUGUAAACUCGACUUGUAAAUAGGUACCUCAAUAGUCAUACUCCAUCCGGCUGGCGUUUUCUUCGUUUUUACAAUCCUGCUUGCUUCUCUCUCUUUUAUUGUCAUUUAUUUUUAUAAAGAUAACAAGAUGAGGAAUAUAAUUCUACCAAAUGUAUGCUCAUGGUGCUGCCAAGAUAAGGAAUCGGAGGAUCAUCUCUUUAUUCACUGUUCAUUUGCACAGGGGGUUUUGGAUAGCUUGGAAUUGUAUGGGUUUUGCUGAGGUCCAUUGAUCAAUUUUUAUUUUUUUUUAUUUUUUUGGUUUGGCAUGGUGGUGGUAUAGGUAAAGUCGGGAAGAAAGUUUGGCAUCUCUAUAUAUUAGCCGGAAUUUGGUUUCUUUGGUUAGAAAGGAAUAAUAGAUGUUUCAAAAAUUGUAAAGGGCAAGUAUUGGAGGUUUUUAAUAGGGUUAAAUUGCAUGUUGUGGAAUGGGUGAUUGCAUCAAAGGCUAUUCGCUUCUUCCCUGACAGCUAGAUGGAUCUGUAAUUAUUCUUUUUCUUUUGUCUUUUGUAAUUCUUUAGGCUGCGGCCUUUCUUUAAUAAAGUUAUUGCUGUUCAAUUUUUUA
This is a long non-coding RNA of Magnolia sinica, 2806 nucleotides long. RefSeq lists it as uncharacterized. Lineage: Eukaryota; Viridiplantae; Streptophyta; Magnoliopsida; Magnoliales; Magnoliaceae. The record is from RefSeq and is a predicted model, not a curated record. The transcript has 2 exons.